This 348-nucleotide unclassified non-coding RNA is filed under the name uncultured Russulaceae. Its description in RNAcentral is "sequence contains ITS2". Lineage: Eukaryota; Fungi; Basidiomycota; Agaricomycetes; Russulales; Russulaceae. The record is from RNAcentral.
AACGCACCUUGCGCCCCUUGGCAUUCCGAGGGGCACACCCGUUUGAGUGUCGUGAACAUCCUCAACCUGCUUCGUUCUAUCGAACCAAGUAGGCUUGGAAUUUGGAGGUUUUUCUGCUGGCUUCCUCUGAAGCCAGCUCCUCUUAAAUCUAUCAGUGGGAUCCGCUUUGCUAGAUCCUCGACGUUGAUAAGAUGUUUCUACGUCUUGGGUUUCGCUCGGGAAGGACCUGCUUCUAACCGUCCCCAUCGGGGACAAUGUUCGAGAGCCGAUCGCCCUUCACGGGGUGGGAAGCUUUUCGACCCAUGAAACCUUGACCUCAAAUCGGGUGAGACUACCCGCUGAACUUAA